CACUCCUACGGGAGGCAGCAGUGGGGAAUAUUGCACAAUGGGCGCAAGCCUGAUGCAGCGACGCCGCGUGGGGGAUGAAGGCCUUCGGGUUGUAAACUCCUUUCGCUAGGGACGAAGCUUUUUUGUGACGGUACCUAGAUAAGAAGCACCGGCUAACUACGUGCCAGCAGCCGCGGUAAUACGUAGGGUGCGAGCGUUGUCCGGAAUUACUGGGCGUAAAGGGCUCGUAGGUGGUUUGUCGCGUCGUCUGUGAAAUUCUGGGGCUUAACUCCGGGCGUGCAGGCGAUACGGGCAUAACUUGAGUGCUGUAGGGGUAACUGGAAUUCCUGGUGUAGCGGUGAAAUGCGCAGAUAUCAGGAGGAACACCGAUGGCGAAGGCAGGUUACUGGGCAGUUACUGACGCUGAGGAGCGAAAGCAUGGGUAGCGAACAGGAUUAGAAACCCGGGUAGUCCCA
Molecule: ribosomal RNA, 455 nt
Filed under: uncultured organism
Description: partial 16S ribosomal RNA
Rfam family: Bacterial small subunit ribosomal RNA
Source: RNAcentral